ACCAGGUCCCAGAAGAACACCUUCCCGUCCUCGGAGCAGCUGACCACGUGCGUGUCGCGCUCGCUCAGGCAGCAGUCCAGCUUGUACUCCUGGUUCUUAUGGCCCGUGUACCUGGGUCUCCCCUGUGUCCUUGUCUAGAAGCCGCAACGUGGAGUCCAGGCUGGACACCAGGGUGCACUGCCCGUCCCGGCUGAAGCAGGUGCAGGUCAUAGCGCCUUACCCGGCCAUCUACGGAGCUGCAAGAGAGGAUGGAUCCAGCUGAAGCAUCACAGGGGCCAGCAGGUCCAGGGCUCCAGCUUUGGUGUUCCUGUACCCUCUCACCUGGCCAGGGCCCUGAGAGCAAGGCUGGGUGCCUGCCCUUCCUGGGCACCCUUCACUGUCAUGUCAUGUUCAGGACUGGCCACAGAAAACAUGCAUUGAAGGGAAUUCAUGAGUGGAAUUCUGAGGCACUGGCUUUGAGACUCAGCCCCAGGGGCCAAUCAGGUCCCACUGCAUCUGUUUCUGAUUUAUACUGAGCUCCUUCUCUGGGCUACACCCUGUGUGGGAGCUUGGGACACAGCUGCUACCAAGCCAGGAGCACUUGCUGCCAACGUGGAGCCUUGCUGACUGAGGGUAAUCAGGUCCCCGAGGAGGUGACGUUUGAAUUGGUACUUAAAGAUGAGAAGGAGCCGGCCAUAUGCAGUCCAAGGGGGGAUGUGUGGGAACUGGGUAGGCCACCACGCCAUGCAGCCCAAAUGCCCCCAGUGGUGGUAUCGGCACUCCCUCAGGUUGUGGCAACAUUUGGGCAGCCCUGCAUGGGAAUAUUUUUUUUUUAAUUGUCUCCUGCAGGUAGAACAUCAACUCUAUGUAAGUGGGGUUUUUCCUUGUUUUCCUAUCUUUUCACUCCUGUAUGCUCAUUGACUGAAAACGUGACCUGCAGGUGGUGCUCAAACACACUCGGAAUAAGUAGUAGAAGGGUAGCCCAGGCAGAGGAAGAGCAAUUGCAAAAGUCGGUCCUGGGGUGGGAGCAUGUGUGGCAUAUUUAACAGAAAUGAGCCUGGGAAUGAAUAAAAACUGAGAGCACAACAGA
This is a long non-coding RNA of Aethalodelphis obliquidens (Pacific white-sided dolphin), 1069 nucleotides long. RefSeq lists it as uncharacterized. The transcript is spliced from 3 exons. The record is from RefSeq and is a predicted model, not a curated record. Lineage: Eukaryota; Metazoa; Chordata; Mammalia; Artiodactyla; Delphinidae.